GAUGAACGCUGGCGGCGUGCCUAAUACAUGCAAGUCGAGCGAACGGACGAGAAGCUUGCUUCUCUGAUGUUAGCGGCGGACGGGUGAGUAACACGUGGAUAACCUACCUAUAAGACUGGGAUAACUUAGGGAAACCGGAGCUAAUACCGGAUAAUAUUUUGAACCGCAUGGUUCAAAAGUGAAAGACGGUCUUGCUGUCACUUAUAGAUGUAUCCGCGCUGCAUUAGCUAGUUGGUAAGGUAACGGCUUACCAAGGCAACGAUGCAUAGCCGACCUGAGAGGAUGAUCGGCCACACUGGAACUGAGACACGGUCCAGACUCCUACGGGAGGCAGCAGUAGGGAAUCUUCCGCAAUGGGCGAAAGCCUGACGCAGCAACGCCGCGUGAGUGAUGAAGGUCUUCGGAUCGUAAAACUCUGUUAUUAGGGAAGAACAGAUGUGUAAGAAACUGUGCACAUCUUGACGGUACCAAAACAGAAAGCCACGGCUAACUACGUG
This 497-nucleotide ribosomal RNA is filed under the name uncultured bacterium. Its description in RNAcentral is "partial 16S ribosomal RNA". It matches the Rfam family "Bacterial small subunit ribosomal RNA", at positions 28 to 507 of the family's 1533-position model. The record is from RNAcentral.